GCACCCAUAGCUCAAAUGGAUAGAGUGUUGGCCUCCGAAGCCAAAGGUUGCGGGUUCGAGCCCCGUUGGGUGCA
RNAcentral lists this transfer RNA (74 nucleotides) under Candidatus Magasanikbacteria bacterium RIFOXYA2_FULL_44_8. Its description in RNAcentral is "tRNA-Arg". It matches the Rfam family "tRNA". From Rfam's summary of the family: Transfer RNA (tRNA) molecules are approximately 80 nucleotides in length. Their secondary structure includes four short double-helical elements and three loops (D, anti-codon, and T loops). Lineage: Bacteria; Candidatus Magasanikiibacteriota. The record is from RNAcentral.